UAUCUCUCCGUACGGGGAAGGAUGAGAAGCUUCGACCAAGGUUCGAUUCGAGCGAAAGCGAGAAAGCGUUGCCGCAGGCAACGACCCGAAGGGCGAAGCGCGCAGCGCUGAGUAAUCCUUCCCCCACCACCA
RNAcentral lists this small RNA (132 nucleotides) under Salmonella enterica. RNAcentral's name for it is "RtT sRNA". It matches the Rfam family "RtT RNA". From Rfam's summary of the family: This family represents a bacterial cis-regulatory element known as RtT RNA. The exact function of RtT is unknown although it is thought that it may be involved in changing the cellular response in relation to amino acid starvation. Lineage: Bacteria; Pseudomonadati; Pseudomonadota; Gammaproteobacteria; Enterobacterales; Enterobacteriaceae. RNAcentral also lists the same sequence under 2 other names. The record is from RNAcentral.